GUUGGUGGGGUAGAAGCCUACCAAGGCAACGAUCAGUAGCCGGCCUGAGAGGGUGGACGGCCACACUGGGACUGAGACACGGCCCAGACUCCUACGGGAGGCAGCAGUGGGGAAUAUUGCGCAAUGGGGGAAACCCUGACGCAGCGACGCCGCGUGAGCGAAGAAGGCCUUAGGGUCGUAAAGCUCUGUUGUAAGGGACGAAUGUUUAUCUGGCGAACAGUCAGAUAAAGUGACGGUACCUUACCAGCAAGCCCCGGCUAACUACGUGCCAGCAGCCGCGGUAAGACGUAGGGGGCGAGCGUUGUCCGGAAUUACUGGGCGUAAAGAGCACGUAGGCGGGUAAUUAAGUCAGAUGUGAAAGACCGGGGCCCAACCUCGGGGUUGCAUCUGAAACUGGUUAUCUUGAGGGCAGGAGAGGAAAGUGGAAUUCCUGGUGUAGCGGUGAAAUGCGUAGAAAUCAGGAGGAAUACCAGUGGCGAAGGCGGCUUUCUGGACUGACCCUGACGCUGAGGUGCGAAAGCGUGGGUAGCAAACAGGAUUAGAUACCCUGGUAGUCCACGCUGUAAACGAUGGAUACUAGGUGUGGGAGGUAUCGACCCCUUCCGUGCCGGAGCUAACGCAAUAA
This 625-nucleotide ribosomal RNA is filed under the name uncultured bacterium. RNAcentral describes it as "bacterial SSU rRNA". It matches the Rfam family "Bacterial small subunit ribosomal RNA", at positions 248 to 863 of the family's 1533-position model. The record is from RNAcentral.